Molecule: ribosomal RNA, 1313 nt
Filed under: Rhyacophila quadrifida
Lineage: Eukaryota; Metazoa; Arthropoda; Insecta; Trichoptera; Rhyacophilidae
Description: 16S ribosomal RNA
Rfam family: Archaeal large subunit ribosomal RNA (bases 894-1235)
Source: RNAcentral
AAAAUUAAUCUUAAUUUUAAGAAUAUGAUAGGAUUAAAUUAAAUUUAUUUAAAAUAUUAAUAAAUAUAAAGAUUUUAGUAUAAGUAUUGAAUGAUUUAAUUAAUUUAUAGUUAAAUAGUAUUGAAAAAGAUUGAUGAAAUAACUGAAAAUAGAUUUAUUAUAAAGUAAAUUUAACUUAUUGUAUCUUGUGUAUCAGAGUUUAUUAAAAAAAUUUUUGUGAAAAUAAAUUUUUCGAAAUAAAGAGAGCUAAUUAAUUAAUUUAGUUAACGUAUUAUAGUUAUUAAUUAUGGUCAAUUAGAAAUGAAAUGUUAUUCGUUCUUUAUAAUAUCUAAUUUUUUUAGAAAUAAGUUUAAUUUAAAUAAAUUUUAUUUAAUGAUUUAAUUAGUUUAGUUAUUAAAAUUGUUUAUUAAUAUUUUAAGGGAUAAUCUUUAAAGUAAAUUGUUAAAUAAUUUUUGGUUUAGAAAAAUUUAUAUAAAUAAAAUUUUUUAUUAAGUUUAGUUUUUUAUAAAUAAUUUUAGUUCUAUUAUAAUUUAAUUUAUUAAUUAAUUAUUUUAUAAAAAUAUUAAAUUUAAUUUUGAAGUUUAAUUAAUAAUGAUAAAAUUAGUAUAUUUUAAUUUAAAAAAUAAUUUAAAUGUUAGGUUAAGUUAAUUAAUUCGGCAAAAUAUUAUUCGCUUGUUUAACAAAAACAUGUCUUUUUGAUUAAUAAUUUAAAGUCUGAUCUGCCCACUGAAUUUUAAUUUGAAGGGCUGCAGUAUUUUGACUGUGCGAAGGUAGCAUAAUAAUUAGUCUUUUAAUUAAAGACUGGAAUGAAUGAUUGGACGAAAUAAAAACUGUCUCAAUUUUAAUUUAAAUAGAAUUUAAUUUUUUAGUUAAAAAGCUAAAAUAUGUAUAAAAGACGAGAAGACCCUAUAGAUCUUUACAAUUUAAUUUAUGGAGUUAAAAUUGCAUAAGUAAUUAUUGUUUAAUUGGGGUGAUUAAAAAAUUAUAAGAACUUUUUUAUUAUUUAACAAUAAUUUUUGAGAUUUUGAUCCUGUAUUACAGAUUAUUAGAAUAAGUUACCUUAGGGAUAACAGCGUAAUUUAAAUUUUAAGUUCUUAUUGAAAUUUAAGUUUGCGACCUCGAUGUUGGAUUAAAUUAAUUUUUGGGUGCAAAAUUUCAAAAUUUGAGUCUGUUCGACUCUUAAAAUUUUACAUGAUCUGAGUUCAGACCGGCGUAAGCCAGGUUGGUUUCUAUCUUUAUAAGAAAUAUUUUAUUUUAGUACGAAAGGAUUGAAUAAAAAAAAAUAAUUUUUUUUAUAGGAAUAUUAUUAAAUU